Molecule: RNA transcript, 3442 nt
Organism: Magnolia sinica
Lineage: Eukaryota; Viridiplantae; Streptophyta; Magnoliopsida; Magnoliales; Magnoliaceae
Gene name: RNA polymerase II C-terminal domain phosphatase-like 2
Exons: 19
Source: RefSeq, a predicted model, not a curated record
GAGGGAGAGAGGAGAGAGGGAGAGAGAGAGAAAGAGAGAGAGAGAGGAGGGGGAGGAGAAGAGAGAGGCCCUGCUUUUUCGAAUCUGGAAUCAUUAAAUGACUCGACUAGGGUUUAAAUCGACUGUCUUCCAUGGCGAUUCGUGCCUGGGCGAAGCAGAGAUUUUCCCCACUGAGAAAAACCCUAGUUUCCAAUUCCCAAACAACGAAAUUCGCAUCAAUCAUUUCUCUCCGCCAAGUGAUCGCUGCCCACCGCUCUCGAUUCUCCAGACAAUCUCCCCUUUUGCCGUCCGAUGCAAGCUCGAAUCAAAAUCACCGCCAUUGAAUUGCCUACACACGUCAUGCUUCCAAGAACUCAAGACAGCAGUAGUUGUGCAUGGAGAUGAAGAAGUGCAUUUGGUAGCAAUGCAGAGUAGGCAGGACAAGAUUCCUGGCUUCUUCUGGUGCUGUGCGGUUCCGCUUGGUCUCUAUGGUUCUUGCAAGGGGAUGCUGAAUCCCCGGUGCCUCGCAAUCGUGUUCGAUCUCGACGAGACGCUCAUAGUUGCGAACACGAUGAAAUCAUUCGAGGAUAGGAUCGAGUUCCUCCAACGCAGGAUUGCCUGCGAAACUGAUGGCCUUCGAGCUUCGGGCAUGAAGGCAGAGCUCAAGCGAUACUUGGAUGAUAAAGCUCUCUUGAAGCAGUACUCAGAGAAUGACCAUGUCAAUGAUAAUGGGAAACUGAUCAAGAUUCAGCUUGAGGAGGUUCCUCCGAUUGCUGGUAGCCCAGAACCAGUCAUUCGGCCAAUUAUAAGGUUGCAAGACAGGAAUAUCGUCUUAACUCGCAUUAAUCCAGAGGUUCGUGAUACAAGUGUCCUUGUGAGGCUUCGGCCUGCUUGGGAAGAUUUGAGGAGUUAUUUAACUGCCAAAGGGCGCAAACGCUUUGAGGUUUAUGUUUGCACGAUGGCUGAAAGAGAUUAUGCUUUGGAGAUGUGGAGGCUUCUGGACCCAGAAGCAAACCUAAUAAGCUCAAAGCAACUUCUGGAUCGCGUUGUAUGUGUCAAAUCAGACUCUAGGAAGUCAUUGUUGAAUGUUUUUCAAGAUGGUAUCUGCCAUCCAAAAAUGGCGAUGGUGAUCGAUGACCGCCUGAAGGUUUGGGAUGACAAGGAUCAACCUCGAGUACACGUUGUUCCUCCCUUCACUCCAUAUUAUGCACCUCAGGCUGAGACGGCGAAUGCUGUUCCAGUGUUGUGUGUUGCAAGAAACGUUGCAUGCAAUGUCAGAGGUGGAUUUUUCAAAGAAUUUGAUGAAAAACUGCUGCGAAGAAUAUCCGAAUUUUGUUAUGAAGAUGAAGUACUAGAUUUACCUCCUGCACCUGAUGUGAGCAAUUACUUAAUGACAGAGGAUACUGGUGUCAUGCCAAAUGGAAAUAGAGACAUUCCUGUUCCCGAAGGCAUGAGUGGUGCUGAAGCUGAACGAAGAAUGAAUCGACCGGAUCAGAAGCUUGGUGUGGAAGCCAGCUUACCUUUCGUCAUGAACAGUCCUGAUUCGAGGUCUGAACUCUCUCAACAACCUUUGGCCAUCACAUCUAAUUUUAUAACCCCAUCAGUGUCUAGAACGACUAUACCUUCACAGAGACCUGGUUUGUUGGGAGCUUCUCCAAAAGAGGCAGAGGCCUCCCAGUCGGAAUUAGAUCCUAUCAUGAGGAGAAGACUCCUCGCUCUGCAGCAUGGCCCAGAUAUGCCGGGAAGUAGCUUAAUUGAUCCUUCUUUUAGAUCAAGACCACCUGCAAGGAUGUCAGCAUCGCCCAUACAACUAAAUGGAGGCUGGUUUGUUGCCGAUGAAGACGUCAAUGCUGGGCAACUUAUUAAGCGAUCUUCAGGGGCGACUCAAGAAUCUGAUGCAUUACAACCUGAUAAGCAUCGAACUAUUUCUAAUCCUCCUAAUCAUAGUGCAGAAACUUCCAUUCCCUUCGACAAAUCCCAUCCUGUGUCUGGAGUGAAAGCUGAAGAGGCAUGUCUUGUAGAUGAACGGCAAAGGCAAAAUCAAGUACACCCAAGUAAUUCUUCCAUUUCAGAAGAUGAUGAGGUAUCCUUGAAUCGGCCAUCCGUUAACAAUGGUGAGCUUCAUAUUGAAGUGACUCCACAACCUUCUGUGUAUAUAGGAGUACUGCAAGAAAUUGGACGGAGGUGUGCCUCAAAGGUUGAGUUCAAAUCUGUUAUCAGCACCAGCAAGGAUCUGCAGUUCUCUUUUGAGGUACUCUUCAGUGGGGAAAAGAUAGGGGUUGGGAUUGGUAGAACACGGAAGGAAGCUCAAUUCCAAGCUGCUAAAAAUGCUCUUCGGAACUUGGCCAGCAGCUAUGUAUCACAUCUUGCACCUGACACCGUAGCUGUGGACAGAGGUUUGGAUAAGCUCUCUUCUGGAAAUGAAAAUGGAUUUUUGAGGGACGUUGCCACUCCUAUGUCAGUUGAAUUGCCUAUGAAGGAGGAACUACCCAAUGCGAGUAUGUUGGAGCAGUUGGGUAAUGGAGAUGAGUCGACAAGAUUAUCUGUUGUCACCUCUGGCAUCAAAGAUUUAUGUGUGGCAGGGGGCCUCAGUCUAUUCUUCCAAGAUCAGCCCCCAGUUACCAUGACUUUAAAUAAUGGAGAGUUUUAUUCUCAGGUUGAAAUAGCAGGAGAGGUUUUAGGAAAGGGAAUUGGUUUGAGUAAAGAGGGAGCUAAGCUGCAGGCUGCUGAGGAGGCACUAGGGAGCUUGAAAUCCAUGAUCAGUCAGCAAGCCUCGAAGCGUUCAAAUUCACCAAGGCCCUCUAAAUAGGAUGCCAAUUUUGGGGAUUUCCUGCCCUAAACAGAUUAACAUGUUCUUUGUGGCAAGAUGGGUAACAAGUUUCACCUCUUGCACUUUCUUCUUUGUAGGUCGCCGCCAACCAUUCCAAACAAGCGGUCAAAGGACGAACUCCUUCGAGGGUUUCCAGCUCUAUCACCGUCACGACAUCAAAAAAACGGGCACCCAAUUUCUUGAGAAACAGCAUAGGAAUGAAAGAAACGGCCAUUUCAACUGUACAGUGGUAACAAUUUUGAGGUUUAUAGGUCAACAGCAACAUAACGUGGCAUGCAUCUCUUCCAGUUCGAGGCUAUCUACCUGAUAUCCUUUUGAAGUAAAUCGGGAUAUUCCUUCUAUUCAGAAGUUUUUCCUUUUGUCAAUACAAUAUAUAGUUUUGGAAUGCCCCAUGUUCUACUGUAGCUUCUUCAGAAACUGUUCAAGUCAGUGUUUUUCUUAAACAAGUUAUUGUUAUAUAAUUGUCUCCUCUGUGUGAGUAUAGUUCAAACACACAAACACACAUACAAAGAAGAAGAAAAAAAGUAGAGCUUUUGACACUCUUGAACGGAUGAUACUCAUUUACCUGCCUCUUGAAUCCAAUGGAGAUUGUUUAUUGCCAUAAAAGAAUAUGACUAGUUUCUGCUUGAGCCA